ACCUCGCUUACCUUCGGGCUCAUGUAAUGUGAUUUCAUCUUUGCCUAUGUUGAUCGUACGAAAGCGUCUUUCAUUUGAGAGGUAUUGAAGUUGAAAGUUAUCUUUCGGUCUUUCAGGAACCUGAAAAGUAGCAACACAAGAAAAAUUCAUAUCUUGGUUAGUGGAAACAUUCCUCACUACCCUUUCCAUGUCUUUUUCUUUUGUUUCUUUUUCGAACUCAUUUUCUCUUCUUUCUUC
RNAcentral lists this long non-coding RNA (237 nucleotides) under Gossypium raimondii (Peruvian cotton). RNAcentral describes it as "long non-coding RNA (GRAI_LNC001912)". The record is from RNAcentral. Lineage: Eukaryota; Viridiplantae; Streptophyta; Magnoliopsida; Malvales; Malvaceae.